GGGUUGUGAGGUUAAGCGACUAAGCGUACACGGUGGAUGCCCUGGCAGUCAGAGGCGAUGAAGGACGUGCUAAUCUGCGAUAAGCGUCGGUAAGGUGAUAUGAACCGUUAUAACCGGCGAUUUCCGAAUGGGGAAACCCAGUGUGUUUCGACACACUAUCAUUAACUGAAUCCAUAGGUUAAUGAGGCGAACCGGGGGAACUGAAACAUCUAAGUACCCCGAGGAAAAGAAAUCAACCGAGAUUCCCCCAGUAGCGGCGAGCGAACGGGGAGCAGCCCAGAGCCUGAAUCAGUAUGUGUGUUAGUGGAAGCGUCUGGAAAGGCGCGCGAUACAGGGUGACAGCCCCGUACACAAAAAUGCACAUAUUGUGAGCUCGAUGAGUAGGGCGGGACACGUGGUAUCCUGUCUGAAUAUGGGGGGACCAUCCUCCAAGGCUAAAUACUCCUGACUGACCGAUAGUGAACCAGUACCGUGAGGGAAAGGCGAAAAGAACCCCGGCGAGGGGAGUGAAAAAGAACCUGAAACCGUGUACGUACAAGCAGUGGGAGCACGCUUAGGCGUGUGACUGCGUACCUUUUGUAUAAUGGGUCAGCGACUUAUAUUCUGUAGCAAGGUUAACCGAAUAGGGGAGCCGAAGGGAAACCGAGUCUUAACUGGGCGUUAAGUUGCAGGGUAUAGACCCGAAACCCGGUGAUCUAGCCAUGGGCAGGUUGAAGGUUGGGUAACACUAACUGGAGGACCGAACCGACUAAUGUUGAAAAAUUAGCGGAUGACUUGUGGCUGGGGGUGAAAGGCCAAUCAAACCGGGAGAUAGCUGGUUCUCCCCGAAAGCUAUUUAGGUAGCGCCUCGUGAAUUCAUCUCCGGGGGUAGAGCACUGUUUCGGCAAGGGGGUCAUCCCGACUUACCAACCCGAUGCAAACUGCGAAUACCGGAGAAUGUUAUCACGGGAGACACACGGCGGGUGCUAACGUCCGUCGUGAAGAGGGAAACAACCCAGACCGCCAGCUAAGGUCCCAAAGUCAUGGUUAAGUGGGAAACGAUGUGGGAAGGCCCAGACAGCCAGGAUGUUGGCUUAGAAGCAGCCAUCAUUUAAAGAAAGCGUAAUAGCUCACUGGUCGAGUCGGCCUGCGCGGAAGAUGUAACGGGGCUAAACCAUGCACCGAAGCUGCGGCAGCGACACUAUGUGUUGUUGGGUAGGGGAGCGUUCUGUAAGCCUGUGAAGGUGUGCUGUGAGGCAUGCUGGAGGUAUCAGAAGUGCGAAUGCUGACAUAAGUAACGAUAAAGCGGGUGAAAAGCCCGCUCGCCGGAAGACCAAGGGUUCCUGUCCAACGUUAAUCGGGGCAGGGUGAGUCGACCCCUAAGGCGAGGCCGAAAGGCGUAGUCGAUGGGAAACAGGUUAAUAUUCCUGUACUUGGUGUUACUGCGAAGGGGGGACGGAGAAGGCUAUGUUGGCCGGGCGACGGUUGUCCCGGUUUAAGCGUGUAGGCUGGUUUUCCAGGCAAAUCCGGAAAAUCAAGGCUGAGGCGUGAUGACGAGGCACUACGGUGCUGAAGCAACAAAUGCCCUGCUUCCAUAGGCAAAAUGGUGCCGUAACUUCGGGAGAAGGCACGCUGAUAUGUAGGUGAAGUCCCUCGCGGAUGGAGCUGAAAUCAGUCGAAGAUACCAGCUGGCUGCAACUGUUUAUUAAAAACACAGCACUGUGCAAACACGAAAGUGGACGUAUACGGUGUGACGCCUGCCCGGUGCCGGAAGGUUAAUUGAUGGGGUUAGCCGCAAGGCGAAGCUCUUGAUCGAAGCCCCGGUAAACGGCGGCCGUAACUAUAACGGUCCUAAGGUAGCGAAAUUCCUUGUCGGGUAAGUUCCGACCUGCACGAAUGGCGUAAUGAUGGCCAGGCUGUCUCCACCCGAGACUCAGUGAAAUUGAACUCGCUGUGAAGAUGCAGUGUACCCGCGGCAAGACGGAAAGACCCCGUGAACCUUUACUAUAGCUUGACACUGAACAUUGAGCCUUGAUGUGUAGGAUAGGUGGGAGGCUUUGAAGUGUGGACGCCAGUCUGCAUGGAGCCGACCUUGAAAUACCACCCUUUAAUGUUUGAUGUUCUAACGUUGACCCGUAAUCCGGGUUGCGGACAGUGUCUGGUGGGUAGUUUGACUGGGGCGGUCUCCUCCUAAAGAGUAACGGAGGAGCACGAAGGUUGGCUAAUCCUGGUCGGACAUCAGGAGGUUAGUGCAAUGGCAUAAGCCAGCUUGACUGCGAGCGUGACGGCGCGAGCAGGUGCGAAAGCAGGUCAUAGUGAUCCGGUGGUUCUGAAUGGAAGGGCCAUCGCUCAACGGAUAAAAGGUACUCCGGGGAUAACAGGCUGAUACCGCCCAAGAGUUCAUAUCGACGGCGGUGUUUGGCACCUCGAUGUCGGCUCAUCACAUCCUGGGGCUGAAGUAGGUCCCAAGGGUAUGGCUGUUCGCCAUUUAAAGUGGUACGCGAGCUGGGUUUAGAACGUCGUGAGACAGUUCGGUCCCUAUCUGCCGUGGGCGCUGGAGAACUGAGGGGGGCUGCUCCUAGUACGAGAGGACCGGAGUGGACGCAUCACUGGUGUUCGGGUUGUCAUGCCAAUGGCACUGCCCGGUAGCUAAAUGCGGAAGAGAUAAGUGCUGAAAGCAUCUAAGCACGAAACUUGCCCCGAGAUGAGUUCUCCCUGACUCCUUGAGAGUCCUGAAGGAACGUUGAAGACGACGACGUUGAUAGGCCGGGUGUGUAAGCGCAGCGAUGCGUUGAGCUAACCGGUACUAAUGAACCGUGAGGCUUAACCUUACAACGCCGAAGGUGUUU
Molecule: ribosomal RNA, 2828 nt
Filed under: Escherichia coli
Lineage: Bacteria; Pseudomonadati; Pseudomonadota; Gammaproteobacteria; Enterobacterales; Enterobacteriaceae
Description: 23S ribosomal RNA
Rfam family: Bacterial large subunit ribosomal RNA
Source: RNAcentral